RNAcentral lists this transfer RNA (73 nucleotides) under Thermoprotei archaeon. RNAcentral describes it as "tRNA-Met". It matches the Rfam family "tRNA". Rfam says of the family: Transfer RNA (tRNA) molecules are approximately 80 nucleotides in length. Their secondary structure includes four short double-helical elements and three loops (D, anti-codon, and T loops). The record is from RNAcentral. Lineage: Archaea; Thermoproteati; Thermoproteota; Thermoprotei.
GCCGCCGUAGCUCAGCGGGUAGAGCGCCGGACUCAUAAUCCGGAGGUCCCGGGUUCAAAUCCCGGCGGCGGCA